Molecule: ribosomal RNA, 559 nt
Filed under: uncultured bacterium
Lineage: Bacteria
Description: bacterial SSU rRNA
Rfam family: Bacterial small subunit ribosomal RNA
Source: RNAcentral
GUAAGGUAACGGUUUACCAAGGCAAUGAUGCAUAGCCGAGUUGAGAGACUGAUCGGCCACAUUGGGACUGAGACACGGCCCAAACUCCUACGGGAGGCAGCAGUAGGGAAUCUUCCACAAUGGACGCAAGUCUGAUGGAGCAACGCCGCGUGAGUGAAGAAGGGUUUCGGCUCGUAAAGCUCUGUUGGUAGUGAAGAAAGAUAGAGGUAGUAACUGGCCUUUAUUUGACGGUAAUUACCUAGAAAGUCACGGCUAACUACGUGCCAGCAGCCGCGGUAAUACGUAGGUGGCAAGCGUUGUCCGGAUUUAUUGGGCGUAAAGCGAGUGCAGGCGGUUCAAUAAGUCUGAUGUGAAAGCCUUCGGCUCAACCGGAGAAUUGCAUCAGAAACUGUUGAACUUGAGUGCAGAAGAGGAGAGUGGAACUCCAUGUGUAGCGGUGGAAUGCGUAGAUAUAUGGAAGAACACCAGUGGCGAAGGCGGCUCUCUGGUCUGCAACUGACGCUGAGGCUCGAAAGCAUGGGUAGCGAACAGGAUUAGAUACCCUGGUAGUCCAUGCCGU